Molecule: ribosomal RNA, 3010 nt
Filed under: Salmonella enterica subsp. enterica serovar Karamoja
Lineage: Bacteria; Pseudomonadati; Pseudomonadota; Gammaproteobacteria; Enterobacterales; Enterobacteriaceae
Description: 23S ribosomal RNA
Rfam family: Bacterial large subunit ribosomal RNA
Source: RNAcentral
GGGUUGUGAGGUUAAGCGACUAAGCGUACACGGUGGAUGCCCUGGCAGUCAGAGGCGAUGAAGGGCGUGCUAAUCUGCGAUAAGCGCCGGUAAGGUGAUAUGAACCGUUAUAACCGGCGAUACCCGAAUGGGGAAACCCAGUGUGACUCGUCACACUAUCAUUAACUGAAUCCAUAGGUUAAUGAGGCGAACCGGGGGAACUGAAACAUCUAAGUACCCCGAGGAAAAGAAAUCAACCGAGAUUCCCCCAGUAGCGGCGAGCGAACGGGGAGGAGCCCAGAGCCUGAAUCAGCAUGUGUGUUAGUGGAAGCGUCUGGAAAGGCGCGCGAUACAGGGUGACAGCCCCGUACACAAAAGCGCAUGUGCUGUGAGCUCGAUGAGUAGGGCGGGACACGUGGUAUCCUGUCUGAAUAUGGGGGGACCAUCCUCCAAGGCUAAAUACUCCUGACUGACCGAUAGUGAACCAGUACCGUGAGGGAAAGGCGAAAAGAACCCCGGCGAGGGGAGUGAAAAAGAACCUGAAACCGUGUACGUACAAGCAGUGGGAGCACAGGUUUACCUGUGUGACUGCGUACCUUUUGUAUAAUGGGUCAGCGACUUAUAUUCUGUAGCAAGGUUAACCGCAUAGGGGAGCCGGAGGGAAACCGAGUCUUAAUUGGGCGUUAAGUUGCAGGGUAUAGACCCGAAACCCGGUGAUCUAGCCAUGGGCAGGUUGAAGGUUGGGUAACACUAACUGGAGGACCGAACCGACUAAUGUUGAAAAAUUAGCGGAUGACCUGUGGCUGGGGGUGAAAGGCCAAUCAAACCGGGAGAUAGCUGGUUCUCCCCGAAAGCUAUUUAGGUAGCGCCUCGUGAAUUCAUCUCCGGGGGUAGAGCACUGUUUCGGCUAGGGGGCCAUCCCGGCUUACCAACCCGAUGCAAACUGCGAAUACCGGAGAAUGUUAUCACGGGAGACACACGGCGGGUGCUAACGUCCGUCGUGAAGAGGGAAACAACCCAGACCGCCAGCUAAGGUCCCAAAGUCAUGGUUAAGUGGGAAACGAUGUGGGAAGGCCCAGACAGCCAGGAUGUUGGCUUAGAAGCAGCCAUCAUUUAAAGAAAGCGUAAUAGCUCACUGGUCGAGUCGGCCUGCGCGGAAGAUGUAACGGGGCUAAACCAUGCACCGAAGCUGCGGCAGCGAACGUAUCACUUAAAGCGAUUCAGCGGGUUACGAUUGACGGAGCGAAGCGACGUCAAAGCGUAUACAAAGUCGAGUCGGUUUAAGGAUACGUUCGUUGGGUAGGGGAGCGUUCUGUAAGCCUGCGAAGGUGGCCUGUGAGGGUUGCUGGAGGUAUCAGAAGUGCGAAUGCUGACAUAAGUAACGAUAAAGCGGGUGAAAAGCCCGCUCGCCGGAAGACCAAGGGUUCCUGUCCAACGUUAAUCGGGGCAGGGUGAGUCGACCCCUAAGGCGAGGCCGAAAGGCGUAGUCGAUGGGAAACGGGUUAAUAUUCCCGUACUUGGUGUUACUGCGAAGGGGGGACGGAGAAGGCUAUGUUGGCCGGGCGACGGUUGUCCCGGUUUAAGCGUGUAGGUGUGUGUUCCAGGUAAAUCCGGUUCACUUUAACACUGAGGCGUGACGACGAGGCACUACGGUGCUGAAGCAACAAAUGCCCUGCUUCCAGGAAAAGCCUCUAAGCAUCAGGUAACAUCAAAUCGUACCCCAAACCGACACAGGUGGUCAGGUAGAGAAUACCAAGGCGCUUGAGAGAACUCGGGUGAAGGAACUAGGCAAAAUGGUGCCGUAACUUCGGGAGAAGGCACGCUGACACGUAGGUGAAGUGAUUUACUCAUGGAGCUGAAGUCAGUCGAAGAUACCAGCUGGCUGCAACUGUUUAUUAAAAACACAGCACUGUGCAAACACGAAAGUGGACGUAUACGGUGUGACGCCUGCCCGGUGCCGGAAGGUUAAUUGAUGGGGUCAGCGCAAGCGAAGCUCCUGAUCGAAGCCCCGGUAAACGGCGGCCGUAACUAUAACGGUCCUAAGGUAGCGAAAUUCCUUGUCGGGUAAGUUCCGACCUGCACGAAUGGCGUAAUGAUGGCCAGGCUGUCUCCACCCGAGACUCAGUGAAAUUGAACUCGCUGUGAAGAUGCAGUGUACCCGCGGCAAGACGGAAAGACCCCGUGAACCUUUACUAUAGCUUGACACUGAACAUUGAGCCUUGAUGUGUAGGAUAGGUGGGAGGCUUUGAAGUGUGGACGCCAGUCUGCAUGGAGCCGACCUUGAAAUACCACCCUUUAAUGUUUGAUGUUCUAACGUAGACCCGUGAUCCGGGUUGCGGACAGUGUCUGGUGGGUAGUUUGACUGGGGCGGUCUCCUCCUAAAGAGUAACGGAGGAGCACGAAGGUUGGCUAAUCCUGGUCGGACAUCAGGAGGUUAGUGCAAUGGCAUAAGCCAGCUUGACUGCGAGCGUGACGGCGCGAGCAGGUGCGAAAGCAGGUCAUAGUGAUCCGGUGGUUCUGAAUGGAAGGGCCAUCGCUCAACGGAUAAAAGGUACUCCGGGGAUAACAGGCUGAUACCGCCCAAGAGUUCAUAUCGACGGCGGUGUUUGGCACCUCGAUGUCGGCUCAUCACAUCCUGGGGCUGAAGUAGGUCCCAAGGGUAUGGCUGUUCGCCAUUUAAAGUGGUACGCGAGCUGGGUUUAGAACGUCGUGAGACAGUUCGGUCCCUAUCUGCCGUGGGCGCUGGAGAACUGAGGGGGGCUGCUCCUAGUACGAGAGGACCGGAGUGGACGCAUCACUGGUGUUCGGGUUGUCAUGCCAAUGGCACUGCCCGGUAGCUAAAUGCGGAAGAGAUAAGUGCUGAAAGCAUCUAAGCACGAAACUUGCCCCGAGAUGAGUUCUCCCUGAGACUUAAAGUCUCCUGAAGGAACGUUGAAGACGACGACGUUGAUAGGCCGGGUGUGUAAGCGCAGCGAUGCGUUGAGCUAACCGGUACUAAUGAACCGUGAGGCUUAACCUUACAACGCCGAAG